This 446-nucleotide ribosomal RNA is filed under the name uncultured bacterium. Its description in RNAcentral is "bacterial SSU rRNA". It matches the Rfam family "Bacterial small subunit ribosomal RNA", at positions 29 to 521 of the family's 1533-position model. The record is from RNAcentral.
AACGAACGCUGGCGGCAGGCCUAACACAUGCAAGUCGAGCGAGGUAGCAAUACCUAGCGGCGGACGGGUGAGUAACGCGUGGGAACGUACCCUUUGCUACGGAAUAGCCCCGGGAAACUGGGAGUAAUACCGUAUGUGCCCUUCGGGGAAAGAUUUAUCGGCAAAGGAUCGGCCCGCGUUGGAUUAGGUAGUUGGUGGGGUAAUGGCCUACCAAGCCGACGAUCCAUAGCUGGUUUGAGAGGAUGAUCAGCCACACUGGGACUGAGACACGGCCCAGACUCCUACGGGAGGCAGCAGUGGGGAAUCUUAGACAAUGGGCGCAAGCCUGAUCUAGCCAUGCCGCGUGAGUGAUGAAGGCCUUAGGGUUGUAAAGCUCUUUCAGAUGGGAAGAUAAUGACGGUACCAUCAGAAGAAGCCCCGGCUAACUCCGUGCCAGCAGCCGCGGU